UGGGGUAUAGCUCAGUGGUAGAGCACUUGCCUAGCCUGCAAUGGACUAUGGGUUCAAUUCCCAGCACUGCAG
This 72-nucleotide transfer RNA is filed under the name Heterocephalus glaber (naked mole-rat). It matches the Rfam family "tRNA". From Rfam's summary of the family: Transfer RNA (tRNA) molecules are approximately 80 nucleotides in length. Their secondary structure includes four short double-helical elements and three loops (D, anti-codon, and T loops). Lineage: Eukaryota; Metazoa; Chordata; Mammalia; Rodentia; Bathyergidae. The record is from Rfam by way of RNAcentral.